UUUCCGUAGGUGAACCUGCGGAAGGAUCAUUAUUGAAAAAGACAAGACGCCCCGUUUUUUCGUAAAAUGGGUUCAAUACCCACAACCGUGUAUACCUUACCUUUUGUUGCUUUGGCAGGCCGCCUCCGGGCGUUGGCUUCGGCUGACAGCGCCUGCCAGAGGACCCAAACUCUGUGUUUAGUGAUGUCUGAGUAAUAUAUAAUAUUUUAAAACUUUCAACAACGGAUCUCUCGGUUCUG
Molecule: unclassified non-coding RNA, 239 nt
Filed under: plant metagenome
Description: partial contains small subunit ribosomal RNA, internal transcribed spacer 1, and 5.8S ribosomal RNA
Source: RNAcentral